Molecule: long non-coding RNA, 920 nt
Organism: Coffea eugenioides
Lineage: Eukaryota; Viridiplantae; Streptophyta; Magnoliopsida; Gentianales; Rubiaceae
Exons: 4
Source: RefSeq, a predicted model, not a curated record
CUAACAACUCCAAUGAACCCACUGAACUUUACUCUUUGUUCAUCCGAGUUCUCUCUCCUAAAAUCUUCAAUCACAUUAACUCUCUCUGAAAAAAGCCAAAAUCCUUCACCCCUCUAACAACCGAAUCCCUUGUUUCUUUCCCUUUCUUCUAUCCGAUUUUUAAUUCUCCCCAAUUUGAAGACAAAAAUGUAAUAUUUGAGAUCUGUCAGCCCGAAGUGCAACGGUGGAGGACGGUGUUCAUUGGAAAUCGCCAACAACUCUCAGGACUUGUUCUUCUACUUACAACAACAUCUGAAGGAAGAUUACUACCAGUUUCAAGUUUGUAGCGGCCAUCAUCUUCGAUUCCAUCUAGCGAGCACUGAUCGUUGAUUCCCUUUCCACUUGGAGCAAAUUGGAGUUGUUGGUUGGGGAUAAAGUUACAGUAAGAAGCAUGGUUGAUUCGAGCAAAAUUUGUGCUGUUGGAGUGGUUAGAAAUUUGGAUCCAACUUCUGAAGUUGGUGACACACCUUUGGGAUCACAUUGGUGUGAAAUCCAUGUGAAUGUGCCUGUGGAGAAUGAUGAAGAGCUAAUGAGGCCAUACCAUAAUUUUCGCAAGAUUGGAGAUGCAAUUGGAGUAGCUAUUGCUUGGCCAAUAAACCUGGUGAUUCUUGAAGAAAACUAAAGGAUCCUUGGGUCAAAUGGCUAUAUUUUGAAGACAUUGUCAAUGCGUUUUUUGUUGAGUUCUUGUUGAACUAUUGCUUCUUUGAUAUGUAUUGGCAAUACUACUGCAAUACUCAUAACUUUUGAAAAAUCUCUGAAUUGGCAUGUAAUUUGUUGACAUAGUAGCCAUGUAAGUUACUUGGAUGAUGUACUUUUGCACCAGUUUGGCUGCUUGUAUUGCACUAAUUACUAUGAAAAUGUAAAUCACCUUGAUUUUCCUU